This 250-nucleotide ribosomal RNA is filed under the name uncultured bacterium. RNAcentral describes it as "partial 16S ribosomal RNA". It matches the Rfam family "Bacterial small subunit ribosomal RNA", at positions 524 to 773 of the family's 1533-position model. The record is from RNAcentral.
UACGUAGGGUCCGAGCGUUGUCCGGAAUUAUUGGGCGUAAAGAGCUCGUAGGCGGUUUGUCGCGUCUGCUGUGAAAUCCCGAGGCUCAACCUCGGGUCUGCAGUGGGUACGGGCAGACUGGAGUGCGGUAGGGGAGAAUGGAAUUCCUGGUGUAGCGGUGGAAUGCGCAGAUAUCAGGAGGAACACCGAUGGCGAAGGCAGUUCUCUGGGCCGUAACUGACGCUGAGGAGCGAAAGCGUGGGGAGCGAAC